GAGGAUAUAGCUCAGUGGUAGAGCACAUGCUUAGCAUGCAAGAGGUCCUGGGUUCAAUCCCUGGUACCUCCA
This 72-nucleotide transfer RNA is filed under the name Camelus bactrianus (Bactrian camel). It matches the Rfam family "tRNA". Rfam says of the family: Transfer RNA (tRNA) molecules are approximately 80 nucleotides in length. RNAcentral also lists the same sequence under 2 other names. The record is from Rfam by way of RNAcentral. Lineage: Eukaryota; Metazoa; Chordata; Mammalia; Artiodactyla; Camelidae.